Molecule: transfer RNA, 68 nt
Filed under: Erignathus barbatus (bearded seal)
Lineage: Eukaryota; Metazoa; Chordata; Mammalia; Carnivora; Phocidae
Description: transfer RNA-Tyr
Rfam family: tRNA
About the family: Transfer RNA (tRNA) molecules are approximately 80 nucleotides in length. Their secondary structure includes four short double-helical elements and three loops (D, anti-codon, and T loops). Further hydrogen bonds mediate the characteristic L-shaped molecular structure. tRNAs have two regions of fundamental functional importance: the anti-codon, which is responsible for specific mRNA codon recognition, and the 3' end, to which the tRNAs corresponding amino acid is attached (by aminoacyl-tRNA synthetases). tRNAs cope with the degeneracy of the genetic code in two manners: having more than one tRNA (with a specific anti-codon) for a particular amino acid; and 'wobble' base-pairing, i.e. permitting non-standard base-pairing at the 3rd anti-codon position.
Source: RNAcentral
GGUAAAAUGGCUGAUAAAAGCAUUAGACUGUAAAUCUAAUUAUGGAGGUCUGAGUCCUUCUUUUACCA